RNAcentral lists this ribosomal RNA (685 nucleotides) under Streptosporangium sp. YIM 63554-1. RNAcentral describes it as "bacterial SSU rRNA". It matches the Rfam family "Bacterial small subunit ribosomal RNA", at positions 56 to 762 of the family's 1533-position model. Lineage: Bacteria; Bacillati; Actinomycetota; Actinomycetes; Streptosporangiales; Streptosporangiaceae. The record is from RNAcentral.
UGCAAGUCGAGCGGAAGGCCCUUCGGGGUACUCGAGCGGCGAACGGGUGAGUAACACGUGAGCAACCUGCCCCUGACUCUGGGAUAAGCCUGGGAAACCGGGUCUAAUACCGGAUAUGACACGCCUUCGCAUGGGGUGCGUGUGGAAAGUUUUUUCGGUUGGGGAUGGGCUCGCGGCCUAUCAGCUUGUUGGUGGGGUAGUGGCCUACCAAGGCGACGACGGGUAGCCGGCCUGAGAGGGCGACCGGCCACACUGGGACUGAGACACGGCCCAGACUCCUACGGGAGGCAGCAGUGGGGAAUAUUGCGCAAUGGGCGGAAGCCUGACGCAGCGACGCCGCGUGGGGGAUGACGGCCUUCGGGUUGUAAACCUCUUUCAGCAGGGACGAAGGUGACGUGUACCUGCAGAAGAAGCGCCGGCUAACUACGUGCCAGCAGCCGCGGUAAUACGUAGGGCGCAAGCGUUGUCCGGAAUUAUUGGGCGUAAAGAGCUCGUAGGUGGCUUGUCGCGUCGGGUGUGAAAGCGUGGGGCUUAACUCCAGGUCUGCAUUCGAUACGGGCUGGCUAGAGGUAGGUAGGGGAGAACGGAAUUCCUGGUGUAGCGGUGAAAUGCGCAGAUAUCAGGAGGAACACCGGUGGCGAAGGCGGUUCUCUGGGCCUUACCUGACGCUGAGGAGCGAAAGCGU